This 68-nucleotide transfer RNA is filed under the name Camelus bactrianus (Bactrian camel). It matches the Rfam family "tRNA". Rfam says of the family: Transfer RNA (tRNA) molecules are approximately 80 nucleotides in length. Their secondary structure includes four short double-helical elements and three loops (D, anti-codon, and T loops). Lineage: Eukaryota; Metazoa; Chordata; Mammalia; Artiodactyla; Camelidae. The record is from Rfam by way of RNAcentral. RNAcentral also lists the same sequence under 1 other name.
GGAAUAGCUCAGUAUAGAGCAUGUGCUUAGCAUGCAUAAGGUGCUGGGUUCAAUUCCCAGUACCUCCA